CAAGGUCCGAGUUGUAAUUUGCAGAGGAUGCCUUGGGAGAGAGACCGGCUCAAGUCCCCUGGAACGGGGCGUCACAGAGGGUGAGAAUCCCGUAUCUGGCCGGCCCUCGACCCCGUGUAAGGCUCCUUCGACGAGUCGAGUUGUUUGGGAAUGCAGCUCUAAAUUGGUGGUAAAUUUCAUCUAAAGCUAAAUACCGGCUGGAGACCGAUAGCGCACAAGUAGAGUGAUCGAAAGAUGAAAAGCACUUUGGAAAGAGAGUUAAAAAGCACGUGAAAUUGUUGAAAGGGAAGCGCUCGCAGCCAGACUCGCUCACAGGUGAUCAGCCGUCCCUCGGGGCGGUGUACUCUCCUGUGGCCGGGCCAGCAUCAAUUCUGGGGGCGGGAUAAAGGCUUGGGGAAUGUAGCUCCUCGGAGUGUUAUAGCCCCUCGCGGCAUGCCGCCACCUGGGAUUGAGG
Molecule: small RNA, 454 nt
Filed under: Chromatochlamys sp. Caceres and Aptroot 11932 (F)
Lineage: Eukaryota; Fungi; Ascomycota; Lecanoromycetes; Thelenellaceae
Description: eukaryotic LSU rRNA
Rfam family: Eukaryotic large subunit ribosomal RNA
Source: RNAcentral